UACGUAGGGGGCUAGCGUUGUCCGGAAUCAUUGGGCGUAAAGAGCGCGUAGGCGGCCAGAUAAGUCCGGUGUGAAAGUCACAGGCUCAACCUGUGAAUGCCGCUGGAAACUGUCUGGCUAGAGUCCGGAAGGGGCGAGUGGAAUUCCUGGUGUAGCGGUGAAAUGCGCAGAUAUCGGGAGGAACACCAGUGGCGAAGGCGACUACCUGGCCUGUUCUUGACGCUGAGGCGCGAAAGCUAGGGGAGCAAACGGG
Molecule: ribosomal RNA, 253 nt
Filed under: uncultured bacterium
Lineage: Bacteria
Description: partial 16S ribosomal RNA
Rfam family: Bacterial small subunit ribosomal RNA
Source: RNAcentral